CUGGCGGCAUGCCUAAGACAUGCAAGUCGAACGAGAAGACCUUUGAAGAUGGAGUGCUUGCACAAAAUGGAAGAAGAUUAUCUUCUAGUGGCAGACGGGUGAGUAACACGUGGGUGACCUACCUUUAAGCUGGGGAUAACGAUUGGAAACGAUCGCUAAUACCGAAUAAGAGGUACGUAAAAAUAUCAUUGAAAGAAGCCUUUAAAGCUUCACUUAGAGAUGGGCCUGCGGCGUAUUAACUAGUUGGUGAGGUAAUGGCUCACCAAGGUAACGAUGCGUAGCCGAACUGAGAGGUUGAACGGCCACACUGGGACUGAGACACGGCCCAGACUCCUACGGGAGACAGCAGUUAGGAAUAUUCGUCAAUGGGGGAAACCCUGAACGAGCAAUGCCGCGUGAGUGAUGAAGAUUCCCUCUGGAUUGUAAAACUCUGUUGUAUGGAAAAAACGACUGUAUUAGGAAAUGAAUACAGAGUGAUGGUACCAUACGAGAAAGCUCCGGCUAACUACGUGCCAGCAGCUGC
RNAcentral lists this ribosomal RNA (523 nucleotides) under uncultured bacterium. RNAcentral describes it as "bacterial SSU rRNA". It matches the Rfam family "Bacterial small subunit ribosomal RNA", at positions 36 to 518 of the family's 1533-position model. The record is from RNAcentral.